ACGGCAGCACGGGAGCAAUCCUGGUGGCGAGUGGCGAACGGGUGAGUAAUGCAUCGGAACGUGCCCAGUCGUGGGGGAUAACGCAGCGAAAGCUGCGCUAAUACCGCAUACGAUCUAUGGAUGAAAGCGGGGGACCGUAAGGCCUCGCGCGAUUGGAGCGGCCGAUGUCAGAUUAGGUAGUUGGUGGGGUAAAGGCUCACCAAGCCAACGAUCUGUAGCUGGUCUGAGAGGACGACCAGCCACACUGGGACUGAGACACGGCCCAGACUCCUACGGGAGGCAGCAGUGGGGAAUUUUGGACAAUGGGCGCAAGCCUGAUCCAGCAAUGCCGCGUGCAGGAAGAAGGCCUUCGGGUUGUAAACUGCUUUUGUACGGAACGAAACGGUCUGGGUUAAUACCCUGGGCUAAUGACGGUACCGUAAGAAUAAGCACCGGCUAACUACGUGCCAGCAGCCGCGGUAAUACGUAGGGUGCAAGCGUUAAUCGGAAUUACUGGGCGUAAAGCGUGCGCAGGCGGUUUUGUAAGACAGGCGUGAAAUCCCCGGGCUCAACCUGGGAAUUGCGCUUGUGACUGCAAGGCUGGAGUGCGGCAGAGGGGGAUGGAAUUCCGCGUGUAGCAGUGAAAUGCGUAGAUA
RNAcentral lists this ribosomal RNA (635 nucleotides) under Hydrogenophaga taeniospiralis. Its description in RNAcentral is "bacterial SSU rRNA". It matches the Rfam family "Bacterial small subunit ribosomal RNA", at positions 66 to 696 of the family's 1533-position model. The record is from RNAcentral. Lineage: Bacteria; Pseudomonadati; Pseudomonadota; Betaproteobacteria; Burkholderiales; Comamonadaceae.